AAUCCAUUAGAAGAGUCACGUAGAGAAUGAAUUCUACUAUCUUCUAAGAUUUAAAAGUCCAUCAUCAAUAUUUUAUCCCUGUAACAACAAUCAAUAUUCAUCUUUGCACUACAGGCCAAAGAUAUUCAUUUAAAUCACCAGUCGGUCAUGUUCAUCUCAACACCUGUUCAUCUUUGCACUACAGGCCAAAGAUAUUCAUCAGUUAAUCAUUCAUCUUUGCACUACAGGCCAAAGAUAUUCAGUAGUAUCAUCAUUUAGGACUGAG
This 265-nucleotide long non-coding RNA is filed under the name Panax ginseng (ginseng). RNAcentral describes it as "long non-coding RNA (PGIN_LNC006279)". The record is from RNAcentral. Lineage: Eukaryota; Viridiplantae; Streptophyta; Magnoliopsida; Apiales; Araliaceae.